This is a non-coding RNA of Thamnophis sirtalis, 1782 nucleotides long. NCBI's taxonomy places the organism in Eukaryota, Metazoa, Chordata, Lepidosauria, Squamata, Natricidae. The record is from RefSeq and is a predicted model, not a curated record.
UUAUUUCUUCUCAAAUCAUUUCCAGCAGCCUCCUGGAGCUGGUGUUGGGAUGAUGCCACAGCAGCCUCUUAUGUAUGGACAACCAAUGAUGAGGCCACCAUUUGGAGCAGCUGCAGGACCUGGUGCACAAGUUUCUCCAAGUCCAACACCCGCCACCCAGAGUCCCAAGAAGCCUCCAUCAAAGGACCCACUAGCAGAUCUUAACAUCAAAGAUUUCUUAUGAGCUAUUUAAGUUUUGUGAAAGGAUAAGUGAAGAUGCAAAUUUGAAAUCUGCAAACAAGAAUUUUGUUGCUCAGAAUUUCCAAGUGAGCCACCAGUACCAAACCCAGUGCUUACUCAAGACUUCUCUCCUACUUCCAAAACGUGUAGCACAGCUGUGAAAGUGAUCAUAGGAAUGUGUACUAUUUUAGUUGUUAUCCCUUCUCUCUCUCUCUCUCUCUCUCUGUUUGUGUACUUGGGUUAUAAUUUAUGUGUUUCUCAACUUAAACAUUGGAUGUAUGUUUCUGAUGCCUUCUUAGUGCUUUUCUGAACCAAUCCAUUAGGAACAGAUUAUGCAGCUGUUGUGUGGUGUGAGCCAUUUGGAGCGAUGUGUCUGUGUUUCUGGAGGUCUUAAUGUAAAUACCCUUGGCGACCCCCUAAAUUUUCUCUUCAAAUCCAGUUCCCUUUGCAUAUCUGUUAUACAAAACAAUAUUGUGGUUAUAUCAGGUAGCAAGAAGAACACUGUCGAUCCUUUUUUUUUUAAAGUGUGUGCAAUGUAAUAUUUUUUUUCCAAAGCAAGAAUUUAUUAUCAAAUUUGUUGUGGGGUACAUUUUAAUUUCCUGGCAUUCUAUCUACUAAUAUGAAUGAAAUUCAUAUUAAUAAUCUCCUAUCAAGUUACUUGACAAAGGUUGUUAAAAAAAAAUCCCCCACAUAAAAAUACUUUAUCAGAUUUCUUUAAAAAAAACAUUUGUCUUCUAUUUUCAUUUAAAAACCAUCAUAUUUAUCAUUGAUAUUUAAAAUGCACUGAAAACAAGUAAAGGGUAAGUUUCUUGGCAUACAAUUCAGAAAAAUCAAACAUAACAAAAGCAAACUCUCUUAGAUUUGUCAGGCUAUUUCAGUUGCCCAUUGUUACUAGGGGCAAAUCAUGAUUUUUUCCCCCCUUUUGCUUUUAUGUACACCUGUCAGUUUUGUUCUUCUCUGUACAUAUCUUAGAUUAGUGUUUUUCAUCCUCCCACAGCACUUAUGUAUUUUCUGUACUGUUUGUGAUUAGAGGUCACACUGAACCUGAAUUAUGCCCUUUACCGUAAACAAAAGUGUUCUUUUAUCGUUUUAGUUUGUUCUCUCAUACUGUGUGUGCUGAUGGCUUAGCUUAAGAUUUUUGACUUCUUAAUAAGGUCACUGUUGAUCAGUGUUACAAGUGGCUUGGCAGUUCUUUGUUAAAGCAUAUUAGGUUGGAAAGAUGUUCAUCUAAGUCUUUCAAAUUAAUAUUUAAUCAACAUGUGGUACCAUUUUUAAAAAGUGGUUGUAUAUUGUGGGGAUAACAUAACCUGUAACAACAGAGAGUUAGAGAGAGAAUUUCAAAUGGAUUUGCUUUGUAUUUUGGUUUGAGGAAAAAACCCAAUGCAUGUAUACCCUCUGAGAUGCAAUAAAACACCUUGAUCAAAGUAAAUUCAAAAUCAAGUGGUCUCUAUUUUUUUUUAAAUUAUCCAGUUUAUGAUGAUAGUAGAGUAAAACUGCACUAGGAUUGGUUUACAGAGUUUAACGAUUGUGAUCUAGAGAACGGGUUUCUUGAUGUUUUGCCAG